RNAcentral lists this long non-coding RNA (1546 nucleotides) under Papio anubis (olive baboon). RNAcentral's name for it is "lncRNA (ENSPANG00000050159.1)". Lineage: Eukaryota; Metazoa; Chordata; Mammalia; Primates; Cercopithecidae. The record is from RNAcentral.
GGGGGACACAUUCAAACCAUAGUGAUGGCCUUGCCUUAUUUGAUGUGCACAUCAGCCUGGUUUGAACCAUAGAGACUGCAACACCACUUAUAAUAACUUCUGUUAGAUACUAAAAAAGAAGUUCACGUGUAGUGAACAAUCUUUGCAUAAGGUUUUAAAAAUAUACAUUUGUUAUUGGAGUUUUUAUCUGGUCUUUCUAAACCUGGUGCUAUUUUUUAUCUGCUACUUGGAUUUCUUUGCUUCUGUAUGUGUAUUUUUAAAACAUUGAUCUAAUCUUGGCUUACAGGAGCCUGCCACUGAGCACAUGUUUGCUAGUUCAUCAGAGCCUAUUCAUCUUUUCCUGACCAUUGGGGAAAUCUAAUGGUGUCCAGCUAUAGAGCAAAUCAAGCCUGGGGGCUGCCUUCUUGGAAUGAAAUGCUGCUUAGGGAGAGACCAGAUUCAGUCUUAUGGCUAAGUAGCAAGCAUCCCAGCUCGUUUGGCAGUUUGAUUCAUAUAUUUACAUGUUGAAUAAGUGGUGAUCUCAACCCUCAACUCACUUCUUUAUGCAAGAAAUUCCUAAUAUUUUUCGUAUUUUCUUCCUUUAGCUCUUGUUGCAUUCAGGAGUGGAAAAUAUGCAGGUGACUCUUGCUUGCCAAGCUGCUCAGAAAAAUGCUUUGAUGGUGGCUGUCCAGCAGGUGUACUUCUAUCACACCCCGCAAGGGAGCUGUCCUGCUAAUGUCGAGGAAAUAAGUUCAAAUCUGAGAAAUCAUGGUGGAAUGGGCCCAACUAGAAGAAGACAGUCCAGAAUUGUAAAUGGUAUAGACGGCUCACUGAUAGCCCCAACUCCAAAAGUCCCAGCUACUCUCACUCAUUCUCCAGAAAGAUUUCAGGCUACCAAAAGGUACUGUACCUGGUGAGAUGGAAGGAGGGAUACUGCUUAGAAUAACAAAAGUGUCCUCUUUUAAGUCAAUUAAUAAACAGUAUUGGGGGGAUUGAAGAAGUCUAAACUCUCGGAGUGACUAGCAUCUUAUAUAAAGACCUUGUACAAAUACUGAGAGGGCUCAACUCCUUCCAAUAUACUCCGGUCAAUAAAGGGCAGUGAACAGCUCCUCAAUUUAACCUCUUCUCUUUUUCCUCCCCCUUCUCUUUUCUCUUUCACUUCCAUUCUUCUCUCUCUGUAUAUUUUUCAGACUCCAAAGAGUGUAUAUCACAAGGAAGGCCUUUCCAAAUUCUCCAAAUCUAUUUAAAUUGAGAAGCACAGAACUGUCCUCACUUUUUUGUUUGUUUGUUUUGGAGUCUCGCUCUGUUGCCAGGCUGGAGUGUGCAGUGGCGUGUUCUCGGCUCACUGCAACCUGCACCUCCCGGGUUCAAGUGAUUCUCCUGCCUCAGCCUCCCAAGUAGCUGGGAUAAUAGGCAAGCACCACCGCGCCCAGCUAAAUUUUUUGUAUUUUUAUUAGAGAUGGGGUUUCACCAUGUUGGCCAGGAUGGUCUCAUUCUCCUGACCUCAUGAUCCGCCAGCCUAGGCCUCCCAAAGUGCUGGGAUUAUGGGUAUGAGCCACCACACCUG